GGUGGUUCUCAGGUGACACACCCUGGAAUCGGGCUCCCUCCUCUCUGGUUCUGGGGUGCAUCAUCCAAGAACUGCC
Molecule: non-coding RNA, 76 nt
Organism: Myotis brandtii (Brandt's bat)
Lineage: Eukaryota; Metazoa; Chordata; Mammalia; Chiroptera; Vespertilionidae
Source: Rfam